Molecule: long non-coding RNA, 646 nt
Organism: Oncorhynchus tshawytscha (Chinook salmon)
Lineage: Eukaryota; Metazoa; Chordata; Actinopteri; Salmoniformes; Salmonidae
Source: Ensembl
CAAGAGGUGGGGCUAGAAGUGGGGCUAGAGAUGUGGCUAGAGGUGGGGCAACAGAUGGGCUAGAGGUGGGGCUAGACAUGUGGCUAGAGGUGGGGCUACAGAUGGGCUACAGGUCGGGCUAGAUAUGGUGCUGGAUAUGGGGCUUAAGCUGGGGCUAGAGGUUGGGCUAGAGAUGGGCUAGAGGGGGACUAGUGGUGGGGCUAGUAGUGGGCUAGAGGUCGGGCUAGAUAUGGUGCUGGAUAUGGGGCUUAAGCUGGGGCUAGAGGUGGGGCUAGAGAAGGGCUAGAGGUGGGGCUGAAGAUAGAUAUGGGGCUAGAGAUGGGGCUAGAGGUGGGGCUAGAUAUGGGCUAGAGGUGGGGCUAGAGCUGGGGCUAGAUAUGGGGCCAGAUGUGGGGCUAGAGAUGGGGCUAGAGUGGGGCUAGAGAUGGGGCUAGAGGUGGGGCUAGAGAUGGGGCUAGAAUUGUGGCUAGAGGUGGGGCUAGAGGUGGGGCUAGAGGUGAUACCCUCUUUUCUUCCCUCUCUCCCAUCUGCUCCCCUUCUGUCUACCUCUCUCUGUGUAGUUUGUCCCUCUCUUCUCUGACCUCUCUACCACAUCCAGCAGGGCUACUGGGACAAAACAGAGUAACCAUGGUCACCUAAUCCCCUC